CGAUUUAGCCUGCUAGUCGCACGAGUUUAGACUCGUGGCAGAUAGCUCAGUAACACGUGGCCCAACUACCCUGUCGAUCGGGACACCCUCGGGAAACUGAGGCUAAUCCCGGAUACGGCUCGCUGCCUGGAGUUGGCGCGAGCUCGAAACGUUCAGGCGCGACAGGAUGUGGCUGCGGCCGAUUAGGUAGACGGUGGGGUAACGGCCCACCGUGCCGAUAAUCGGUACGGGUUGUGAAAGCAAGAGCCCGGAGACGGAAUCUGAGACAAGAUUCCGGGCCCUACGGGGCGCAGCAGGCGCGAAACCUUUACACUGCACGCGAGUGCGAUAGGGGGACUCCAAGUGCGAGGGCAUACAGUCCUCGCUUUUUGCGACCGUAAGGAGGUCGCGGAAUAAGUGCUGGGCAAGACCGGUGCCAGCCGCCGCGGUAAUACCGGCAGCACGAGUGAUGACCGCUAUUAUUGGGCCUAAAGCGUCCGUAGCCGGCCAGGCAAGUCCAUCGGGAAAUCCGCACGCCUAACGUGCGGGCGUCCGGUGGAAACUGCUUGGCUUGGGACCGGAAGAUCCAGAGGGUACGUCCGGGGUAGGAGUGAAAUCCUGUAAUCCUGGACGGACCACCGGUGGCGAAAGCGCUCUGGAAAGACGGAUCCGACGGUGAGGGACGAAAGCUUGGGUCACGAACCGGAUUAGAUACCCGGGUAGUCCAAGCUGUAAACGAUGUCUGCUAGGUGUGGCACAGGCUACGAGCCUGUGCUGUGCCGUAGGGAAGCCGUGAAGCAGACCGCCUGGGAAGUACGUCUGCAAGGAUGAAACUUAAAGGAAUUGGCGGGGGAGCACUACAACCGGAGGAGCCUGCGGUUUAAUUGGACUCAACGCCGGACAUCUCACCAGCAUCGACAGUAGCUGUGACGGUCAGUGUGAUGAGCUUACUAGAGCUACUGAGAGGAGGUGCAUGGCCGCCGUCAGCUCGUACCGUGAGGGGUCCUGUUA
Molecule: ribosomal RNA, 990 nt
Filed under: Halovivax sp. AV_22S79
Lineage: Archaea; Methanobacteriati; Methanobacteriota; Halobacteria; Halobacteriales; Natrialbaceae
Description: bacterial SSU rRNA
Rfam family: Archaeal small subunit ribosomal RNA
Source: RNAcentral